UGCGAGUCCGAGCGGACAGAUGGGAGCUUGCUCCCUGAUGUUAGCGGCGGACGGGUGAGUAACACGUGGGUAACCUGCCUGUAAGACUGGGAUAACUCCGGGAAACCGGGGCUAAUACCGGAUGCUUGUUUGAACCGCAUGGUUCAAACAUAAAAGGUGGCUUCGGCUACCACUUACAGAUGGACCCGCGGCGCAUUAGCUAGUUGGUGAGGUAAUGGCUCACCAAGGCGACGAUGCGUAGCCGACCUGAGAGGGUGAUCGGCCACACUGGGACUGAGACACGGCCCAGACUCCUACGGGAGGCAGCAGUAGGGAAUCUUCCGCAAUGGACGAAAGUCUGACGGAGCAACGCCGCGUGAGUGAUGAAGGUUUUCGGAUCGUAAAGCUCUGUUGUUAGGGAAGAACAAGUACCGUUCGAAUAGGGCGGUACCUUGACGGUACCUAACCAGAAAGCCACGGCUAACUACGUGCCAGCAGCCGCGGUAAUACGUAGGUGGCAAGCGUUGUCCGGAAUUAUUGGGCGUAAAGGGCUCGCAGGCGGUUUCUUAAGUCUGAUGUGAAAGCCCCCGGCUCAACCGGGGAGGGUCAUUGGAAACUGGGGAACUUGAGUGCAGAAGAGGAGAGUGGAAUUCCACGUGUAGCGGUGAAAUGCGUAGAGAUGUGGAGGAACACCAGUGGCGAAGGCGACUCUCUGGUCUGUAACUGACGCUGAGGAGCGAAAGCGUGGGGAGCGAACAGGAUUAGAUACCCUGGUAGUCCACGCCGUAAACGAUGAGUGCUAAGUGUUAGGGGUUUCCGCCCCUUAGUGCUGCAGCUAACGCAUUAAGCACUCCGCCUGGGGGAGUACGGUCGCAAGACUGAAACUC
Molecule: ribosomal RNA, 866 nt
Filed under: Bacillus subtilis
Lineage: Bacteria; Bacillati; Bacillota; Bacilli; Caryophanales; Bacillaceae
Description: bacterial SSU rRNA
Rfam family: Bacterial small subunit ribosomal RNA
Source: RNAcentral